Long non-coding RNA from Heterocephalus glaber (naked mole-rat), 459 nucleotides. Lineage: Eukaryota; Metazoa; Chordata; Mammalia; Rodentia; Bathyergidae. The record is from Ensembl.
GGAUGCAGCAUGCAAAAGUUGUGGGGUCAGGAAGCUUCCUACCCAGAUUUCAGAAGGCCUGGGAAGCCAGACAGUUUGGCCCUGAGAAGGCAGUGUGAGUCUGUAAGAGUGAAGCCAAAACUGCAGGGGAGACCCCAGAAAGCUGGAGAAGCCAGGAACAUGGAACAGUAUCACUAGAUCCAGCCACUUUCAGAAAGCCCGUCUAUGACUGCAUAAGGCCUUGAGGGGACAUCUAGAUCCAAGCCAAAACAUCAGUCUUUUUAAACUAGUCAUACUGUGACAGGUGUCCUUACAAGAGGAGAGGACAUGAAGAUACACAGAGGAGAAGGCAAUGUGAAGACAGGCGUGGAGAUUGGAGUGAUGAAGAUACAAACCGGGAGAUGCCAAGGACUGUUGGGAGCCACCAGAAGUUAGGAGGCAGCAGGGGGAUCCUUUACUGGAGCCCAGAGAGAGGCAGGG